UGUUGUCACUCAAUACACUAUAACAAAAACAUUCAACUGUCCAACAUAAGUGCUACAAAGUUAUGCUGUUAGUGUGACAAUUUUGGUUGAUUGCUUUCUUGCUACUUUAUGAAAUCUAAUUGGAUGCGUGUGUGUAAAUGCUUUUCUUCUAGGAGACCUUGGCUGGUAAUAUGUGGAGUGUCUGAUGGUUAGAUGGGUUACCUGGCAAUCCACUGACUCAAAAGAAAAAUCAUUAACUCAAAAUUCAAAGCUAAUGUUAAAAGAAGGAACAGUAAAAGUGGUCUGACUGUGCUUUGUGGACCACUGAGUCAGUGGGCUAGGGGGUGAUUCAUUGUUUAACGCUUCACAUAUGUUAGCUUGUUUUUCUUGUUGUAGAUAGGUCACGCUAGCAAGUAAAGACAGCUUCAGAAAAUUUCCGGGCAUAAUCCCCAAAUCCUGUCUGGGCUUGCAUGAGUAAAUGCUUGUCUGUGUAGAAAGAGCAAAUGAGUUUGGAAGGUGACGGGUCCCACUGUGACUCACAGGGGGCUUGGGGAAAGGCACUGGGGACAGCUCUUGCUGAGGGUGCUGUGUGAUUUCCACAACAGAUCCCUUUUGUUUCUGGUUGUUUCAUACCCUAUGGGCCUCUUCAGUUAGAGCUUUCAACAUCCUCAAAGGCAUCUAAUUGUUCAGGACAUACUGAGUAUCUGCACUUACAGAAAUCAAGCCUCAAGUGGAACUCCCCUGAAAGCAAGGCACCAGGAAGCCAAGAUUAGUUUUCAGAAAGUAAGUGGUUUUCAUUUUUCGGUUUCUCAAGGACUCUUUCAAGGGCCAAGCAGAUGGCUGGGAGAUCCACAGAAUGGAAACCUGCAGUUCUAAUGGGGACAGAAAAGUGUGUGUAGAGGGGGUUGUUUGUUUGCAGUUUUUUUAGUUAAAUCAUCUCUGUGUUUGAUAGCUAUUUACGCUCUUUUGCAGCUAAAAUGGUAGUGCAUUUUUGUGGACUCUUCCUUUUCAACAAAGGACUGAGGAAAUUGCCACACUAAUUCUCUGAGCUUCCUAGCAGCUCUCAAGCAUAACCAGAAGAGCAAUUCCCAACUUUAAAAUACAAAGGGAAACAAAAGAAUAAAAGCACGCAGAGAUCAGUUCA
This 1123-nucleotide long non-coding RNA is filed under the name Anas platyrhynchos platyrhynchos (common mallard). RNAcentral describes it as "lncRNA (ENSAPLG00000026077.1)". The record is from RNAcentral. Lineage: Eukaryota; Metazoa; Chordata; Aves; Anseriformes; Anatidae.